RNAcentral lists this ribosomal RNA (269 nucleotides) under uncultured prokaryote. Its description in RNAcentral is "partial 16S ribosomal RNA". It matches the Rfam family "Bacterial small subunit ribosomal RNA", at positions 524 to 792 of the family's 1533-position model. The record is from RNAcentral.
UACGUAGGGGGCGAGCGUUAUCCGGAAUUAUUGGGUUUAAAGGGUGCGUAGGCGGCCAUUUAAGUCAGCGGUGAAAUUUUGCAGCUUAACUGCAGAACUGCCGUUGAUACUGAUAGUCUUGAGUUUGGUUAAGGUAGGCGGAAUGUGUAAUGUAGCGGUGAAAUGCUUAGAUAUUACACAGAACACCAAUUGCGUAGGCAGCUUACUGAGCCGACACUGACGCUGAGGCACGAAAGCGUGGGGAUCAAACAGGAUUAGAUACCCCGGUA